RNAcentral lists this ribosomal RNA (795 nucleotides) under Sphaerolaimus maeoticus. Its description in RNAcentral is "SSU rRNA". It matches the Rfam family "Eukaryotic small subunit ribosomal RNA", at positions 133 to 928 of the family's 1831-position model. The record is from RNAcentral. Lineage: Eukaryota; Metazoa; Nematoda; Chromadorea; Monhysterida; Sphaerolaimidae.
CCUUACAAGGAUAACUGUGGUAAUUCUAGAGCUAAUACAUGCAAGAAACCCCGACCUUGCGGGACGGGUGCACUUAUUAGAGCAAAACCAAUCGGCUUCGGCCGUCACAUUGGUGAAUCUGAAUAACUGAGCGGAUCGCACUGGUCUUAGUACCGGCGACAUAUCCUUCAAGUGUCUGCCUUAUCAACUUUCGAUGGUAGUUUACAUGCCUACCAUGGUUGUAACGGGUAACGGAAAAUCAGGGUUUGAUUCCGGAGAGGGCGCCUGAGAAAUGGCGACCACUUCUAAGGAAGGCAGCAGGCGCGUAACUUACCCACUCUCAGAUCGAGGAGGUAGUGACGAAAAAUAUCGAGCCGGCGGCUUUUGGCUGCCGGCAUCGGAAUGAGAACAAUAUAAACGUGUUAUCGAGUAACUAGCAGAGGGCAAGUCUGGUGCCAGCAGCCGCGGUAAUUCCAGCUCUGCAAGUGUAUAUCAAUGUUGCUGCGGUUAAAAAGCUCGUAGUUGGAUCUGCGCGACCAGGGUCCGGUCCAGCCAUGUGCUGCGCACUGGCACCCGUCGCUUACCACUGCCGGUCUCGCCCCAAUGCCCUUAACCGGGUGUUGGCGGCCGGCUGGCGAGUUUACUUUGAAAAAAUUAGAGUGCUCAAAACAGGCGCUUUGCCUGAAUACUUCUGCAUGGAAUAAUGGAAGAGGACCUCGGUUCUGUUUUGUUGGUUUUAAGAGCGCGAGGUAAUGAUUAAGAGGAACAGACGGGGGCAUUCGUAUUCCGACGUUAGAGGUGAAAUUCUUGGAUCGU